GUGAGGAAUAUUGGUCAAUGGGCGAGAGCCUGAACCAGCCAAGUCGCGUGAAGGAAGACUGUCCUAUGGAUUGUAAACUUCUUUUGUAAGGGAAUAAAAAGAGUUACGUGUAACUUAUUGUAUGUACUUUACGAAUAAGGAUCGGCUAACUCCGUGCCAGCAGCCGCGGUAAUACGGAGGAUCCAAGCGUUAUCCGGAUUUAUUGGGUUUAAAGGGUGCGUAGGCGGAAGAUUAAGUCAGUGGUGAAAGUUUGCAGCUCAACUGUAAAAUUGCCAUUGAAACUGAUUUUCUUGAGUGCAAAUGAGGUAGGCGGAAUGUGUUGUGUAGCGGUGAAAUGCUUAGAUAUAACACAGAACACCGAUUGCGAAGGCAGCUUACUAGAAUGCAACUGACGCUGAGGCACGAAAGCGUGGGGAUCAAACAGGAUUAGAAACCCUUGUAGUCC
RNAcentral lists this ribosomal RNA (445 nucleotides) under uncultured Paludibacter sp. RNAcentral's name for it is "bacterial SSU rRNA". It matches the Rfam family "Bacterial small subunit ribosomal RNA", at positions 354 to 796 of the family's 1533-position model. The record is from RNAcentral. Lineage: Bacteria; Pseudomonadati; Bacteroidota; Bacteroidia; Bacteroidales; Paludibacteraceae.